This 76-nucleotide transfer RNA is filed under the name Candidatus Omnitrophota bacterium. RNAcentral's name for it is "Candidatus Omnitrophica bacterium (groundwater metagenome) tRNA-Asp". It matches the Rfam family "tRNA". Rfam says of the family: Transfer RNA (tRNA) molecules are approximately 80 nucleotides in length. Their secondary structure includes four short double-helical elements and three loops (D, anti-codon, and T loops). Lineage: Bacteria; Pseudomonadati; Candidatus Omnitrophota. The record is from RNAcentral.
GGGGUCGUAGCUUAGUCCGGCUUAAAGCGCCUGACUGUCGAUCAGGAGACCGCGGGUUCAAAUCCCGUCGACCCCG